GACGAACGCUGGCGGCGUGCUUAACACAUGCAAGUCGAACGGUGAAGCGCCUUCCUUUUUGGUGGGUGUGGAUGAGUGGCGAACGGGUGAGUAACACGUGAGUAACCUGCCCCCUUCUUCUGGAUAACCGCAUGAAAGUGUGGCUAAUACGGGAUAUUCUGGGUCUGUCGCAUGAUGGGUCUGGGAAAGAUAUUGUUUCGGUGGGGGAUGGGCUCGCGGCCCAUCAGCUUGUUGGUGGGGUGAUGGCCUACCAAGGCGGUGACGGGUAGCCGGCCUGAGAGGGUGGACGGUCACACUGGGACUGAGACACGGCCCAGACUCCUACGGGAGGCAGCAGUGGGGAAUAUUGCACAAUGGGCGCAAGCCUGAUGCAGCGACGCCGCGUGAGGGAUGGAGGCCUUCGGGUUGUGAACCUCUUUCGCCAGUGAAGCAGGCCUGCCUCGUUUGUGGGUGGGUUGACGGUAGCUGGAGAAGAAGCGCCGGCUAACUACGUG
Molecule: ribosomal RNA, 494 nt
Filed under: uncultured bacterium
Lineage: Bacteria
Description: partial 16S ribosomal RNA
Rfam family: Bacterial small subunit ribosomal RNA
Source: RNAcentral